This is a non-coding RNA of Xyrichtys novacula (pearly razorfish), 1401 nucleotides long. The record is from the annotation of a GenBank genome assembly. Lineage: Eukaryota; Metazoa; Chordata; Actinopteri; Labriformes; Labridae.
AUUUUUCUGCCCCUUUGAACUGGAAAAUGGCCCACUUCCCACUGGUGAAAACUCAUGAAAUUCGGCAGGACGACCGGGCCUGGUGAAAAAUUCGAUAUUCUGAAGUCACCCAAACAAUCAAAUGCAAAAUGGCUCCAUAGCGCCCCCUAAGGUGAAAAAUUCACAUGAUUGAGUGUCACGCCUGUACGCUUUGUCAAAAUGACACAAAAUUUGACACACACGUGUAUCUCAAUAAGAUCUACAAAAAAGUCAGUGCGGGCGUAUCUGUCAAAUGUACGUUUAAAGGGCUAUUUCGCAUUUUUUGCCGAUCCGCACACAUUGGAAUUUCGCUAACUCCUCCGAAGGCUUUCGUUCCACCGGCACCAAAUUUGCUCAGGCCAAUCUAACCCCAUGGCCAUUCAAAGUUGUACAAAUCAUGACGCUGCACCCCACGGUUUACGUUGUACGGGGCGCCAAAGAUAACCCAAAAAUCCACAUUCUUACAAGUCUUAUAACUUUUUAUUUCUGUCCUCACUGGCCUCCAAGUUUUCUAGGAUGAUGCAAUGUCCAGCCAUCAACACAUUUGUGAAGGAAUUUUUACUCCCCAAAAGAGCGCCCCCCCAUGGCAGGAGAAAAAAGUCCAUUUUUUCUUGUCCUAUAAGGUGAAAAUACACAUUGUUGAGUGUCACGCCUGUACGCUUUGUCAUAUUGAAACAAAAUUUGAUAAUCACGUGUAUCUCAAUAAGAUCUACGAAAAAGUCAACGCGCACGUGUCUGCAAAAUGUACGGUUAAAGGGCUAUUUCGCAUUUUUGGUUGAUUCGCACACAUUGGAAUGUGGCUAACUCCUCCUAAAGCUUUCGUUCCACCGGCACCAAAUUUGCUCAGGCCAAUCUACACCCCAUGGCCAUUAAAAGUUGUACAAAUCAUGAUGCUGCACCCCACGGUUUACGUUCUAGGGGUCGCCAAAGAUAACCCAAAAAUCCACAUUCUUAAAAGUCUUAUAACUUUUCAUUUUUGUCCUCACUGGCUUCAAAGUUUUCUAGGAUGAUGCAAUGUCUAGCCAUCAACACAUUUGUGAAGGAAUUUUUUCUCCCUAAAAGAGUGCCCCCCCAUGGCAGGAGAAAAAGUCAAGUUUUUCCUGCCCAUCGCUCAAUGGCUCAAACACAUCGCUCUCUCGGAAAAAAACGAAAGGAGGAGGAACUUGCCAUUUGGAUAUAUCCUAGCUGUGUUUGUGCCCUCACUCAUGGUCCAGACUUUUUUCAAAUAGGACAUGUAGUUUGUCUGCAGCAAGCGUUUUGGUAGAAACUGCGCCUCCCAUUCAUUAUAAUGGUAAAUGACCACAGACAAGUGCGCACACAAUCGUUGAACCUUGAGUGUGACGCGAUCGGGAGGGAGAGGCGGUCGUGUUGGGGGCGGCGUGA